UACCAGCUCUCCGAGUGGUGUGGAUGUUUAUUGGGCCUAAAGCAUCCGUAGCUGGCUGGGCAAGUCCCCUGUUAAAUCCACCGAUUUAAUCGUUGGUGUGCGGGGGAUACUGUUCGGCUAGGGGACGGGAGAGGCCGACGGUAUUUUCGGGGUAGGGGUAAAAUCCUAUAAUCCCGGGAAGACCACUAGUGGCGAAGGCUGUCGGCUAGAACGCGCCCGACGGUGAGGGAUGAAAGCUGGGGGAGCGAACCGGAUUAGAUACCCGGGUAGUCCCAGCUGUAAACGAUGCAGGCUAGGUGUUUGGGCGGCCACGUGCCGCUCUAGUGCCGCAGAGAAGUCGUUAAGCCUGCCGCCUGGGGAGUACGGCCACAAGGCUGAAACUUAAAGGAAUUGGCGGGGGAGCACCACAAGGGGUGAAGCUUGCGGUUU
Molecule: ribosomal RNA, 429 nt
Filed under: uncultured archaeon
Lineage: Archaea
Description: bacterial SSU rRNA
Rfam family: Archaeal small subunit ribosomal RNA
Source: RNAcentral